RNAcentral lists this ribosomal RNA (301 nucleotides) under uncultured bacterium. RNAcentral describes it as "partial 16S ribosomal RNA". It matches the Rfam family "Bacterial small subunit ribosomal RNA", at positions 509 to 807 of the family's 1533-position model. The record is from RNAcentral.
CAGUCGCCACGGUAAUACGAAGGGGGCUAGCGUUGCUCGGAAUGACUGGGCGUAAAGGGCGCGUAGGCGGCUGACACAGUCAGAUGUGAAAUUCCUGGGCUCAACCUGGGGACUGCAUUUGAGACGUGUUGGCUUGAGUGGAGAAGAGGGUCGUGGAAUUUCCAGUGUAGAGGUGAAAUUCGUAGAUAUUGGAAAGAACACCGGUGGCGAAGGCGGCGACCUGGUCUUUAACUGACGCUGAGGCGCGAAAGCGUGGGGAGCAAACAGGACUAGAUACCCCAGUAGUCCCUGUCUCUUAUAC